UUGUGGGGCUCCAGCUCCCAGCCACGGCCGAGGCCCCCAGCAAGGUGGGCACCUGCUUUGGUCCAUCACCAUCCCCCCCGCGGCUGCUGAAACCUGAAGGGCCUGACAUUAGCAGAGACAGAGCAGCUUUCUCAAGAGGUCUGGAAAUCCCCUUCUGCUGAAGGCUUCAACUUUUUCUAACUUCAGCAGUCACUGGAAGUUUGCAAGAUGAAGGAAAGCUACAAGUGGCAACACAGCUUCUCGGAAGCUCCUGGGAGCACCGCCAGACCGAGGACAUCCAGACCACCAAGACAACAAUCCCUGGUUUUGGAUUUACUGUAGCUGUCUGCAAACCCACACAGCCAUGCCCCUGAACAAAAGGUUCAAUUGAGCAGGAGUCACGCGUACUCAUGCCAGCAGUCCCACAGUGACAAAUUAAGAUCAUGACAUACUUCUGAUGUUUGUACACUGUCCAGCACAACAUAAAAUCAAGUCAGACGUGC
Long non-coding RNA from Falco peregrinus (peregrine falcon), 482 nucleotides. RefSeq lists it as uncharacterized. Lineage: Eukaryota; Metazoa; Chordata; Aves; Falconiformes; Falconidae. The record is from RefSeq and is a predicted model, not a curated record. The transcript is spliced from 2 exons.